ACGGCGUGAGCACUGUGUUCACGACGUGAACAGUCUGACUGAGCAUUUCAGAGCCACUUUGCAGAUGACGCAUGCCAUGAGCGAAUCAGGGCAAACUCACGACGUGAACUUCAAUUUUUAGCCUAUAUAUAGAAAUUUAAGCCUUUCGAGUUUGGCUGCUCAUUCCUAACCUCUCCCCUACUUCUACUCUCUGUUAAGCCCCUUUAAACCACCCCAAAGCCCCGGUAACACUCCUGGAACACGACGCAAGACCCGACGCGCCGACGUUCCCGAGACACUACUUAUCUCCAGUCGAAGUACUGCCUGUGUGAAGCCCCGGGUUUUAUACUUAAGCUCUGAAGGGAGUUCUAUACUCCAGAGAUUCCCGAGAAUCCCAAGAUUUCAGCUUUCUCCUGUCGAAGUUAUGCUCGAUUAUCGUCUUUUCAUCUUUGAACCCCCACUUCAAUCAAGUGAGUUUAUACCCCUUUUAUUCACCUUCAAAUACUUUAUAAUGUACUUUUAAUACAUUUCGGGGGAGAAUACAAGUAAACACCCGGUUAAUCCCGAGUGAAAACGUGAAAACUCUUGUUAUACCUUGCAUACACUAGAUUUAUACAAAAUGCAUAGUAUCCAGGGUAGCAAUCCUUGUUAAACCAUUUUAUGCAUUCAAAUAACUUAUGAUUUUAUGCUUCAUCAAACGUUGUGAAAGAGGAUAAACAUUGCAUACAAAACUAUCACUUUAAUACAAACAUAAUUGAGAAUCCGUGAGACGAUUAUAUCUUCAAUGCUACCUUUUUGUUAAAAGGUACUACCUAAAGUCCUGUCUAUUAUACCAAGAGUCUCCCAUUUGGAGAGCAUGUUAAAUGUGUAUAGAGAUGGGUACAUCACAUCCUUCUUCAUGACUCGGAAAAGUAAAGGAUAUACCCUCUCCCAAAACUCAUGAAACUAGAUCAGCUUGAGAUUUCGACAUUUCUACCCUAAAUUGCUAAAACUAAACUUAAAUGCGAUACCUAUUUCAACCCACAAGUAUAAAUACAUCAUAAGGAAUGUAAGUCGGAACAUUAGAAACCGAAAAACAAAGUGAGGAAAUUAUACGUAUAGAAUCCAACUAACAACGAUCCUAGUUAUCUAACCAACUCGUUUCACAUCAUGUAACAGAAUCAUGUCUUCACCAGGAAGUAAUCAACCAACAACCGACACACCACUUCUGCAUAUAGACUUAGUUACUCUUCACGCUGUAGUCAAAAUCGUUGUAUCAGCCAUCAUGGCUUAUAUCAAUGCAAGUAAUGCUAGUAAAAAUGGGAAUGGUGUCAACAAUUCAAAUCUAUGCAAAUCAAGGAAACCAACAAGUGCCAACUCAUAAGAAUACUCCAACCUACAAACCUCAUAACAGGAAACAAAAGUCCUGGAAUAGGAAAGAGAACAGUUUGAAUCAAGGGCCUCCUAAAAGACAACACAUAGUGACAGCUCACACUGUUACUAUUCCUACCACCCCAACACCCCUAAGGUCAUACAACGAAAACCAGCCUAAGUGCAACCGAUGCAACUUUCAUCAUCACGGACCUUGCCCUGAAAUGUAUUGUGCUAGGUGCAACAACAAGGGGCACACCGUCCGCUACUGUAGAGGACCAGUCCAACCACCCGCUUUGACCACGAAUGUCGGUGUUGGCCAUACUUGCUGUGAGUGUGGAGCAAUGGGGAACUUCUAAAGGGAUUGUCCAAAAGCAAUCAACAUAAAUUAUGGUAGGAGAGGUCGACUAUUCGCAAUGGGCCAAGAGGAAGCCGUUGCAGAUCCCACUGUUGUUACGGGUAUGUUUCCCCUCGAUAACUCCUAUACAUGCAUUUUGGUUAUUAGUGGAGCGGAGAUGAGUUUCGUAAUCCAUAGAUUUAAAAAUCUACUCAAUCAAACAACCCAAUCAUUAAGCUAAACCUUCAUAGUAGUAAUAACAAUAGACUGAAAGCACUGAAAACAAAUAAGUAGAAUGCACUAUCCCGCUAACAAACACUUUUACUGAUCGACUUCACUAUUAAUACAAUAAGAAGUACCCAAAUAGCUACUAGAAAUGGAUUGGCUUGGUCUUCACAAAACCAAUUGCAUGUGAUAUGAAAAGACCCUUUCCUUUUGCCGUUGACUAACAAAAACAUUUCGAUCUAUAUCGACAAACCUAACAUAAUUUCCAAAAUCAUAGUUAGGUUUCAAAACCCCGAGGCACUCAUGUGAGGAGUACUAUAUCUUUACAACCUUCCCGUAGUAAUCCCCAACAUAUCAUUUAGAGAUACCACACGUACAACGAGUCAACUUCAAAUAUAGAAACUAAGAGUGAAUUCAACCAUGAAAUUCAAAACGAAGCUGCCCUACGCAUCGAGUGAAUAUGCUAACAUUUAGAAGAACAUAAGAUAAUAAACCCAAAACCACACGAUCCCUAUCAGUUGAAGCGAUGGACGGAAUAAUGAAGAUCCGUCGAAACAGCCACACUAAGAGUUGGAUUAAGUAGAGAAGAAUAAGAUUCAAAUGGAAUAGAAGUACGCUCACCUUUCCAACCAUCGAUGUCCCAUUCAAAUGCGAAUUUCGGGAUGGAAUUCUCUCUAACGGGGGGAUAAUUUAACACCAGCAAAAUUAGGGUCAAAAUUGAAGUUUUAUAAAACAAUAAUUGGGAUAUACCAAGUGGUAUAUAUCGUAAAGAGGUUUCCAAAAAAUAUAAAGAACACUAAAAUCCGAGUUAUAAUGAAGAAGUUAUGGCCAAUCGAAGAUCCGCGACAAUACCGGUAAAACACUGUUAAGCAUAAAACGAGAAAUUGCAAUAAAAUACUUUUCAGCAUUAGGUGUCUAAAGGAAAGUUGUAUAUAUCCCAAAACCAUAAACAUACAUAAAAAGAAGGGCCAAAUUUGACUUCAUAUGAGGAAGUUAUGAUUUUUCGAACUUUCGGACAUAGCAGUAGACAGCUAAAAACUCAAAAUCGAGAUCGAGCGACUUUUUGCCAACAUGACCUAAACAAGAAUCGAAGAUCUCAUCGAUGGUAUUUCAAUGGUAAAAAGUCUGAAGAAAACUGACAUCGGAUGAAGAAGUUAGGGAUUUUUAACGAACUUUUCCUGUCUCGGCCUGUUAAAAAUAUAAUAUUAAAAAUAAAGUUAAAAUUUGCCGACGGAGUCUAAACGAGAGUUGUAGAGCCUUUGCUUAGCUACGUGUGGAUAUAAAGAACGUUGAAAAAAGAGCUCGUAUAAGAAAGGUAUGAUUUUUUGAAGUUCGGGACACGAAUUUCGAUGCUGUGUCAGAAUUUUCAGUGUUCACGUUGUGAGCACUGUGUUCACGACGUGAACAGUCUGACUGAGCAUUUCAGAGCCACUUUGCAGAUGACGCAUGCCAUGAGCGAAUCAGGGCAAACUCACGACGUGAACUUCGAUUUUUAGCCUAUAUAUAGAAAUUUAAGCCUUUCGAGUUUGGCUGCUCAUUCCUAACCUCUCUCCUACUUCUACUCUCUGUUAAGCCCCUUUAAACAACCCCGAAGCCCCGGUAACACUCCUGGAACACGACGCAAGGCCCGACGCGCCGAAGUUCCCGAGACACUACUUAUCUCCAGUCGAAGUACUGCCUGUGUGAAGCCCCGGGUUUUAUAUUGAAGCUCUGAAGGAAGUUCUAUACUCCAGAGAUUCCCGAGAAUCCCAAGAUUUCAGCUUUCUCCUGUCGAAGUUAUGCUCGAUUAUCGUCUUUUCAUCUUUGAAGCCCCACUUCAAUCAAGUGAGUUCAUACCCCUUUUAUUCACCUUCAAAUACUUUAUAAUGUACUUUUAAUACAUUUCGGGGGAGAAUAAAAGUAAACACCCGGUUAAUCCCGAGUGAAAACGUGAAAACUCUUGUUAUACCUUGCAUGCACUAGAUUUAUACAAAAUGCAUAGUAUCCAGGGUAGC
This 3885-nucleotide long non-coding RNA is filed under the name Lactuca sativa (garden lettuce). RNAcentral describes it as "long non-coding RNA (LSAT_LNC002609)". The record is from RNAcentral. Lineage: Eukaryota; Viridiplantae; Streptophyta; Magnoliopsida; Asterales; Asteraceae.